Molecule: ribosomal RNA, 227 nt
Filed under: uncultured bacterium
Lineage: Bacteria
Description: partial 16S ribosomal RNA
Rfam family: Bacterial small subunit ribosomal RNA
Source: RNAcentral
CGUAACACGUAAGCAACCUGCCCAAGACCGGGACAACGUUCCGAAAGGAGCGCUAAUACCGGAUGUGCCCAUCGGGUGACAUCGCCUGUUGAGUAAAUCGAGCAAUCGGCUUUGGGGAGGGGCUUGCGGCCUAUCAGCUAGAUGGUGGGGUAACGGCCUACCAUGGCGACGACGGGUAGCUGGUCUGAGAGGAUGGUCAGCCGGAUUGGGACUGAGAUACGGCCCAG